RNAcentral lists this ribosomal RNA (275 nucleotides) under uncultured bacterium. RNAcentral's name for it is "partial 16S ribosomal RNA". It matches the Rfam family "Bacterial small subunit ribosomal RNA", at positions 28 to 301 of the family's 1533-position model. The record is from RNAcentral.
GACGAACGCUGGCGGCGUGCUUAACACAUGCAAGUCGAGCGGUAAGGCCCUUUCGGGGUACGACGAGCGGCGAACGGGUGAGUAACACGUGGGUGACCUCGCCCUCCAGCUCUGGGAUAAGCCUGGGAAACCGGGUCUAAUACCGGAUAUGACUCCAUGACGCAUGUUGUGGGGUGGAAAGCCUUGUGCGGCUGAGGAUGGGCCCGCGGCCUAUCAGCUUGUUGGUGGGGUGGAUGGCCUACCAAGGCGACGACGGGUAGCCGGCCUGAGAGGGC